ACCCGCCCGCCCGCCAGCGCAGUCCCGAGGAUCCCCCCGCGCCCUUGCGGCCCCGGAGCCUCCGGGACGCAGGGAACAGCAGCCCCGGCCGGUUCAAACGCAGGUGCUGGAGCCGCCGGGCUGAAGUUACCGGGAGCGGGCGGCUCCGCGGGUGUGUCCAGAGACACAACUGUGUGUCCUGAGAAGGGCAGCGGAGCCGGUGAAGGGGCUGGAGAACAAGUCCGAUGAGGAGCGGCUGAGGGAGCUGGGGGUGUUUAAUCCCCCUCAGGGGUGACCUUAUUGCUCUCUACGACUCCCUGACUGGAGGAUGUAGCCAGGUGGGGGUCGGUCUCUUGUCCCAGGCAACCAGCGACAGGACGAGAGGGCACAGUCUCAAGCUGUGCCACGGAAGGUUGAGGUUGGACGUCGGGUGAUCAGACAUUGAAAUGGGCUGCCCGGAGAGGUGGUGGACUCACGGUCCCUGAAAGUGUUUAAGGAAAGACUGGACUUGGCACUCAGAGCCAUGGUCUAAUUGUCAAGGUGGUUUUCGGUCAUAGGUUGGACUUGAUGAUUUUGGAGGUCUUCCAACCUCAUUGAUUCUGUGAGUCGCUGGGAUCUCUGGGAUCUCUUACCCCUCCCACCAACCCCUGCUGCAGCAAAGGCCAAGGUCUGCCUGGGACCAAAGGUCAGGGAAGGCAUCUCAGCCCCGCGCCACUUGCCCUUCUCCUAACCGAGUCAUUUAUUCCUUCACACAGACUUCCAUGGACUAAAUAAAUAAAUAUGGAAGCUUCCCUGCAGCUGCAGAGAUCCUCUUGGCUUCAGUUGCAUCCCUGUGGAGGGAAAGGCCCUUCCCUGUGCAGGUGAAUGGAUUCGGCCCUGGAGCACAGCAGGUACUUGACUUGGAGCAGGAGUGAUGAGGGGCUGGGGUGACAAAGGACACCUCACAGCCCUCAGUGCCUCAUGGGGCUCAUGAUCCAACAGACCUUCACUGAGACAGAACAGUCCGCGAUGGGAGAGAGAGAUCUGGUUGAAGUCAAUCACAGAGAGUGCACCUCUGUUCGCAUGGAAAAUGGAAUUUCAGCUAAAUCAUACAGAGAGUGUCUGGUGUGCAGCACCUGCUCAAGAACUAACUUUGGUGAUACUCUCUUGUGCUUCACCUGUAUCAAAGAAAGAUGCUGGGGAUAGAUUGAUCCCACUGAAGCAGUAAGAAAUCAUGGUACUGACUGAUAUGAGGACGACCUGUCCUUCACUUCUUACACUUGUUGAUUCUGGAGGCCUGAAGCCAGAAAAAAUGAUCAGCAGCAUCACGUGUGGUGGGAAGAUUUACCUAAAAAGCAGCAUUUCAGUACUUGGAUGAAGAGCAAUCAGGCUGCAAAAACUAGGAGAUUAUUUUCUGAGAAAGCUGUACACGUGGUGGGCUAAAGCAAUGCUCAGAAGGGCUUAAAAAUGUUCUGUUGAAACAAUGAGCAUGAAAAUGGGACCAGCAGGAAGUUUGUGUUUGUCUAAUGAGCUGGGUUUAUUUAGCCCAUCCAAGGACUACUGAACACACUGGGGACAUUGUACAGAGAAAGACAGGAGAACUGGGAAAUGUCCAAGCAUUUAAGAGAUACAUACUCUGGCAGAAUACUAAUAGUUGUAAAAUGAACAUUUAACAUAUGGAUAAAGUAAUGACUGGUUCAAGAGUUCCCAUUAGAGAUAUAAUAGGAAAUGUAAAUUAAUAUGAGAGCAAAUACUACGCUAUAGAAGUGAAUAAAUGUACCAAAGGAGAGCUGGAGGCUUGAUCCAAACUGCUGGAUCAUCCAACCAAACCAGCAUUAAGGCAGCUAUGUGGAGCAUUUCCACAGCUAUCAACCAUCCUGACCAAAAUAAAGGCAGUGGCACUGCAGAUCCUGCCCACAGCAGAGCAAAGCUGAGCGGAUCCAAGGCCCUGGAGGAGGGACGUGGUGGCCACAGGGCGAGCAGCGGCUCCAUGGGGAUCAGCUGUGGUGUGGGAUACAUGGACACCAGGAGAGAGGGAGGAGAGAGCUGGUCUGAGACACAGAUCUUAAGGAAAGGAGCAAAAUGUCAGUUGCUGGAGAAACGGAGAGGAUGGGCAUGGAAGUCAGUGGUUCCAGGUCUUGAUUGUCUUAAAAACAUUGGAAAAAUUCUGUGCCAAAGAGGAAAGAGCACUUGGAGGUGGCAAACUGGUGCCACCUUCACAACCACAACACGGUGCAGGGUCAGGGCCAGCAUUUGUGGACGACAAACAGCAAAAUGGAGCAAUUUUGUGAGAAAAGCCUUGAUAUUUAAUAAGAAUAACAUUUAUAUGAAAAUGACAGCAAGCAGCUCUUCUCAUUAUUUACCUGUUAGUUGUUAUUUACACUGUUUAUUCAAUUAUUCCUUGAAUACAGUGAAAAAGGUAAAGAUGAAAUUAAGAUGUCUUAAAAGCGUUUAAAUAUUUUCAAUUUUCAUAUUAUAAAUAUAAAUUUUAUUGAUAAUUUAAAUGCAAACUUUAAUUGCAUUUUAAUUUUAAAUGCAAAUCUAUAUUUAGAUUAUUUCCUCAAUUUCUAUCUCACUAAAAAAAAAGACCAAAAACAUUAUGGACAGUUUUACAUGUUAAGAGAAACUUCCUUCCUCGUGCAUGUGAUGGUACGUUUUUAAAUGUAUAAUUUCUGUAGCCAUUAAACUAAAUUGAUUUAUUACAACAAUAACAGAGCAACAUAAUAAUUUAAAACAGGUUUAAAAAUUAUUUAUAUUUAUAAAAAUGUAUUUAAACUGCCAUUAUUCUCUCAAACCUUGCCCAUGUAGCAAACUGUGUGCUAUGGACAGUCCUGUUGAUUUUGAUAAGCCCUGUGCCAUGCGCGUUUCCACUGCAGGAAAUUAAAAAGCCAACCUACAGCCCCUGUACAGGAACCAUGGAGUCUCUCCUCCUGUCCAUUCCUAUCACAUGCUGAAACUGCUCCCAGUUCUUCUCCCAAGGCUUCCACAGUAUCUUUGGUGAGAUGUCACCUUUUAUUAGCAGGCUCGCUCUCGGAUACUCUAAUGCACAUUGAAAACAUAAAAUGCACAUCAUCCAUCUUUCAUGUGACAGCUGCAUCCCACCUUCUGAACUUCCAAGCUCCUGGCACACCUGGGUCAAGGCUCUGCUAAUAAAAUGAUGCUGAGUGACAGGGGGAGAGGGAGUCAACUGACUACAAGCAUUUGAUAAACUGUUACCUGCAAUUUCUUGUGUUUGUUGCCUCGGGCAAACGCACUAAAGAGGAAACAAGUCACUGCAAGCCCCAUUUGUCCAACUGCGUGAGUGGAGAGGAGGAUGAAAGGCAAUAUACUCCUGUUACUUACAGCUUUAUGAUUUUAAUCCAUUUUGUCAGGGAAAUACCUUUUGGUCCAUCAAGUAAUGUGAUAAACUAUUCAAACAAAGGGAAGAAUCAAUGUUUCUGUACUGCUGCUAUGUUUGUUGAUAUGAUUCUAUGAUUCUGCUAUUUCAUGAGUUAUCAGAUGCACAGUGUUUCAGUUUAACCACUAAGGUUAUACUUGUAUCUAGAUACAGUCAUUUUUUUAUAGUAAAUAAAUAAUAUAUUAAACACAUAAAACAAAUAAUUUGAUACAAUUAUUCAAAUUAUCUGAUGGAUACACAUUAUUGACUCAUGAUAAUUGAGACUUAUUUUCUAAUAUUUUGAUAUAGACUUGUCUUAUUUUUGUUAGAGCAUCGCAAACUUUUAGAAGAGAAAUCUGUAGAUCCUUUGAAGUCAGACCUAUUUUAAGUCAACUAUUUUGGAAAACACUGUUCCAGCAUAGUGGUAUCCUAAUACAGUUCAGUCUGGUGAUGUAAAUGAGUGGAGCAUCUUCCCAAAACUUAAUUACAGUUCAGAAGUAUUACAUGUUAUUAUGUACCUGUUGUGAGGCUGAUGCUUGUUUUAAUUACUGCAGUGGUUACUGUGGUCAAAAUCCAUGUUUGCAAAGGCAAAGGAGAGAGAGCUUUUCAGAGUUUCCAGAAGAACCCACAGACCUGAAUUUUUCUGUGCGGCAGAAGACACAGAAAAAAAGAUAGGAAUGUUCAACUUAGGCUCUUCUCUGGGAUCAGCAUCAUAUGGAAGAGAUAAAAAUAGCAGCUAAAAAAACCAGCAGUUGAUCCAGACUGAAACUCUCUUCUGCUCCUGGAACUAUUCCUGGCUCAGAGAGGAAAAGAGGGAGAAAAGACAAGUGUCCCACCUUGGAGAUGACUCAGUGGAGAAGGGAGUGGAAUGCCACACUGGCUCCCUGGUCCCAGGUGCCCAGGAGUUUGCCACACCUCAGGUGUUUAUAGAUGUGAUUGUGGGGUUCACACAAAGCCUUUCAGGCCUCUGCCAGUGGCUGCUGGAAACAGAAGCCAUCCCUUUUAGUCUCAGUUGUUCUGUAUGAGAAUGAACUAAGAUGUAUUCCACAAAGCACUUGAUAGAGUGGAAAACUUUUAAGUAGGAAAUUACUUCUCGGUAUGGCACUUGAAAAUGUGGAAUUCCUGCUCAGCUUACAGUGUCCUCGGCAAAAAUUAGAGAUUGAGAGCACAAACAGAAUGAAACAGUCAAAGUGACCUCAAUACAGAGGAACAGAGUUAAAAAAAAAAAAAAGAAAAAAGCAGGACUUAACCCUGUGCUCAAGCUUGAAGUACAUAAAAGUAACAGUGACAUACUCGGUGACCGAUGGGAACUUGACCUCAGUGGGCUCUGCACAACCUUCUCAGCAGCAGCAGAGUCACAUCAUCAAGUGGCUUUGCAAGGACAGAAGAUAAUUAAAUGUGAUCACAUCAAGCAGAGCAAAGCAUGGUAUAGUAGCAAAAAUGCAGUAGUAGUAAAAAUAUUUCCUAAUUAUAAAAUUCCUUAAAUGAUUGCUUCUUUUCUUUCCAGGGAAACAAAAACCUGGCAUUGGAAAGGUUCAAGCGGGCUGACCAUAAAAAGAGGCAAACAGAUGCAUUUUCUUGUUUUGGUUCUUCCCUCAUCCCUGCACACAUCUACAUUUAUGCUUGGAUUUGUAUUUUGAGACUGCAAGGGGCAGAAGGCGAGAGAUUUAUUCCAACACGCUGUGCCAAAUCCCCAGUACAGUGCUGAGCAACUGGGACUAGUCAGGCUGGGAAUUAAUUGAUUGCUAAAAACAAUAAAAGAUGGGAGUACUUUUACAAGACAUCUAACAUGCUGACUGUAUAAAAUUAGGCUGGAAUGACAUUAAUAAAGAAAGCUUUCAAGUGUCAAGAAUGAAAGAAGGUCAGACAUUCUGCACUGAGGAAAUCUAGAUCUCACCAGAGGGGACAUCCACUGUCGUUAUUCUGUUUUGUCUUCACAACAACUUUGUAGCCAGACAGGAAAAAAAAAAAA
Molecule: long non-coding RNA, 5306 nt
Organism: Neopelma chrysocephalum (saffron-crested tyrant-manakin)
Lineage: Eukaryota; Metazoa; Chordata; Aves; Passeriformes; Pipridae
Exons: 2
Source: RefSeq, a predicted model, not a curated record